UGUAGCGUUUCUCUUUUUUAAUAUUGUUCACUAUCACAAAGUCUUGGUAGGAUCAGAAGAAUAAUAUGCCAAAGAGAAUAAAAAAGACAGAGAAGAGAAGGGAGGGUUGGAGAAGGGAGGUUUAGUAACAUGAAUCUAUAGGAUAGGGAGGCUUGGGGAGGAAGAAUUUUCAUAUAUUUUGUUCUUCUUUGUCAGUCCUCUCAUUCCAAUGGCUUCAUGUGCUUCCUCCUUUCUCCCCAACUUUCCAUUUUUAUUUUUGUUUUUUUGUCGCAAUUUUUGCUAUAAUCUACAAAGAUGUGAGAGGAGCAAGAAGUAAAUGGAGAUCGAUUUGCAGGAAGUUGUGGGUGUGGAGAACUUGGGGAGGAUUUAAAGUAAAUCCUUCCCAAGACCCCCCAUACCGAUGAUUUUCUGCAGAUCCUCCCCUUCCCGACCUUGUCCUGCUGUUUUUAGGUCUCUCAAUAUUUUGCUAAGGCAUAUAAUACUCGACAAGUUCUACACAUUGAAUGAUUCAGAUUAUCGAAAUGGGAUCAGUGGUGGGCCCAACACUACCCUCCAACUUAAUGAAUACAUAGAACUAUUUUUUUUUUGGUACUAUCAUUGCGUAAAUUUUCCAUCACUUCAGUAUCAUCACUGUGUAGCUUUUUGGAUUGUACUAAUAUUGUGAAAAUUAAUUUUUUUAUAUUUUUAAUUUAUGAAUGGUGAUUAUUUUUUUUU
Long non-coding RNA from Camellia sinensis, 714 nucleotides. RefSeq lists it as uncharacterized. Lineage: Eukaryota; Viridiplantae; Streptophyta; Magnoliopsida; Ericales; Theaceae. The record is from RefSeq and is a predicted model, not a curated record.